GUCAGCAGCCGCGGUAACACCGGCGGCCCGAGUGGUGAUCGUGAUUACUGGGUCUAAAGGGUCCCGUAGCCGGUUUGGUCAGUCCUCCGGGAAAUCUGAUAGCUCAACUAUUAGGCUUUCGGGGGAUACUGCCAGACUUGGAACCGGGAGAGGUAAGAGGUACUACAGGGGUAGGAGUGAAAUCUUGUAAUCCCUGUGGGACCACCUGUGGCGAAGGCGUCUUACCAGAACGGGUUCGACGGUGAGGGACGAAAGCUGGGGGCACGAACCGGAUUAGAUACCCGGGUAGUCCCAGCCGUAAACGAUGCUCGCUAGGUGUCAGGCAUGGCGCGACCGUGUCUGGUGCCGCAGGGAAGCCGUGAAGCGAGCCACCUGGGAAGUACGGCCGCAAGGCUGAAACCUAAAGGAAUUGGCGGGGGAGCACAACAACGGGUGGAGCCUGCGGUUUAAUUGGACUCAACGCCGGACAACUCACCGGGGGCGACAGCAAUAUGUAGGCCAAGCUGAAGACUUUGCCUGAAUCGCUGAGAGGAGAGGUGCAUGG
Molecule: ribosomal RNA, 544 nt
Filed under: uncultured archaeon
Lineage: Archaea
Description: bacterial SSU rRNA
Rfam family: Archaeal small subunit ribosomal RNA
Source: RNAcentral